CAAAGAAAAUCUCCAGACAACUCCCAGUCCUUCCACCAAGACAAUGUGAGAAAACACUGGCUAUCUAGGCUGAAUGGAAGACCGUGCACAUUCUCCUGGAAUGAACACCAGAUGAAAACGAUCAGAUUACCUUACAUGCACAGGCAGUGCUGAGGACCCAGGAGAAUUCUAGAAGGCACUGAACUCUAUGACCAGAUCUACGCAUAUAAAUCCACUUCUGGCAG
This 224-nucleotide long non-coding RNA is filed under the name Coturnix japonica (Japanese quail). RNAcentral describes it as "lncRNA (ENSCJPG00005014914.1)". The record is from RNAcentral. Lineage: Eukaryota; Metazoa; Chordata; Aves; Galliformes; Phasianidae.